GGGAUAGCUCAGUUGGCAGAGCGUGGUGCUCUUAAUCUCAGGGAUGUGGGUUCAAGCCCCUCGUUGCGCA
Non-coding RNA from Podarcis lilfordi (Lilford's wall lizard), 70 nucleotides. Lineage: Eukaryota; Metazoa; Chordata; Lepidosauria; Squamata; Lacertidae. The record is from the annotation of a GenBank genome assembly.